RNAcentral lists this ribosomal RNA (253 nucleotides) under uncultured bacterium. RNAcentral describes it as "partial 16S ribosomal RNA". It matches the Rfam family "Bacterial small subunit ribosomal RNA", at positions 524 to 776 of the family's 1533-position model. The record is from RNAcentral.
UACAGAGGGGGCAAGCGUUAUUCGGAAUUAUUGGGCGUAAAGGGCGCGUAGGCGGCCUGGCAAGUGGAAGGUGAAAUCCCUCGGCUUAACCGAGGAACUGCCUCCCAAACUGCUUGGCUCGAGACCGGGAGAGGUGAGUGGAAUUCCCAGUGUAGCGGUGAAAUGCGUAGAUAUUGGGAGGAACACCAGUGGCGAAGGCGGCUCACUGGACCGGUACUGACGCUGAUGCGCGAAAGCGUGGGGAGCAAACGGG